RNAcentral lists this ribosomal RNA (261 nucleotides) under uncultured bacterium. RNAcentral describes it as "partial 16S ribosomal RNA". It matches the Rfam family "Bacterial small subunit ribosomal RNA", at positions 524 to 783 of the family's 1533-position model. The record is from RNAcentral.
UACGAAGGGUGCAAGCGUUAAUCGGAAUUACUGGGCGUAAAGGGUGCGUAGGCGGUUAUUUAAGUCUGCCGUGAAAUCCCCGGGCUCAACCUGGGAAUGGCGGUGGAUACUGGAUAGCUAGAGUGUGUCAGAGGAUGGUGGAAUUCCCGGUGUAGCGGUGAAAUGCGUAGAGAUCGGGAGGAACAUCAGUGGCGAAGGCGGCCAUCUGGGACAACACUGACGCUGAAGCACGAAAGCGUGGGGAGCAAACAGGGAUUAGAA